Molecule: ribosomal RNA, 253 nt
Filed under: uncultured bacterium
Lineage: Bacteria
Description: partial 16S ribosomal RNA
Rfam family: Bacterial small subunit ribosomal RNA
Source: RNAcentral
UACAGAGGUCUCAAGCGUUGUUCGGAUUCAUUGGGCGUAAAGGGGGCGUAGGUGGCGCGGUAAGUCGGGUGUGAAAUCUCGGAGCUUAACUCCGAGCGGUCGUGGGAAACUGGGCGGCUAGAGUGCGGGAGAGGAGAGUGGAAUUCCUGGUGUAGCGGUGGAAUGCGCAGAUAUCAGGAAGAACCCCCGUGGCGAAGGCGGCUCUCUGGAACGCAACUGACGCUGAGACGCGAAAGCGUGGGGAGCAAACAGG